RNAcentral lists this long non-coding RNA (2416 nucleotides) under Bemisia tabaci. RNAcentral's name for it is "lncRNA ENSASIAIIG004067". Lineage: Eukaryota; Metazoa; Arthropoda; Insecta; Hemiptera; Aleyrodidae. The record is from RNAcentral.
UGUCGUUUCUCUCUUCGUUGUCGCUGACGUCACUGGCGCUUUAUAUUUCCCAUUCAUUCUUAUGGCCCGAGCACGAACGAGCACACCCCAUUUUUCCCUCUGCACGUAGUUUUGUUUGAUAGAAAUACGUCCAUUUUACACCUUGUCUUGCAGCUUGUUGUGCCAUUGUUUUUACCGCUCAUUUUCCGGGUCAAAGUUCGAGAGGUUCAAGCGUUUUUUUUUUUUUUUUUUUUUUUUUUUUUUUAAGGAAGUGCGUCACAUCACAGUGGAUAUAUUUAGUACCGAGCUAAAGCAUCAAAGCAAGCUACUUUUUCUGCGAAACUUUCGAGCAACCUUAUUCGGGACCUGCAAUUGCGUCUCACGGGAAUCAUGGUUCAGGACCCGCGGUCCUUUUUUGGGUCUAACUCCUGUUUCCCGCAGCUCAGAUUCUGUUGCUGCGGCUGCUCGCUAAGAACAGGCGUCCUUAUCAUAGGAUGGUACACUGUGGUAAUAGGUGUGUUUUCGAUGAUGGGAUCCUUGCCGGUUGUAAGAGGCCUUAAUGACAGAUUUCUCACAACUGAGAGCCCAGAGCGAAAGCUGGCGAUAUUCGUAUGGGCAAUGGACUUCAUCAUCGAUGGAAUUCUGCUCCGAGUCGCGGCCGCAAUCCUACUGUUUGGAGUGUAUAGUAGUAAACCGAGGUGUGUGCUUCUGUACCUCAUUGUGGCCGUUGUCAGCGCCGCAAAGCUAGGAAUUGAAAUUCCGCUGGUUGCCCUUACGAACAUUGGCAAAGUGAAGGUUCAAUUUUCGUUUCUUGACGUUUUCGUGCCGUUGCUUCAACAUCCAGUGGCAUUAUUCUUUACUUUCAUGUUGACUCUUUACUUUGUCAUGGUGACCAACAGUUACUACACAGAAAUGGAGUCUGCCCCUCCAAGAAAUAAAUGUGGAACAGGAGAAACAGAAGACAGGACGCGUCACGCUUGAAAAAAGAUUCUUCAAAGCACGAAGAAUUCGAUCACUCCAUCCGUUUAUCUAAAUGGAUUGCUCAGACCCCUCAUCCCUCUUACGUAAUCGUGAUUAUGAUUUAGAGGAGAAGCUUUUUCUACGAUCGACAGUUUUGAAUCAUUGUGAAAUUUAAUCCUUGUUUUUGCAUUCAAUAGUUACACUCUCUGGGGAACUGAAGGGUGCACAUUGUGCUACAUAAGUUUCUAUCUACUUGCUAGUUGCUAAAUGGACGUAUUUCUAUCAAACGGAGCUAAGCGCCAUAGGGGGUGGAAGGGGGAGGGGGGCUUGGAUUGGCGGGUGUUGCGGAACGCGAUGCUCGUUCCGUUUUAUACUCGCAAUGCUUUUCCAUGGCGCUUAGUUCCGUUUGACAGAACGCGCUAUCAGGGAUUCUAUAUAAAAUCCUCAAAAGGAACUCAAUUUGGCGCUUAGUUCCGAUUCACGGAAAUACGUCCAAAUAUGCAAUUAAGUUGUUGGUUAAACGCAAUCAAUUCGUCCGCUGUAGAGAAAUGUUCCUUAAUUCGUCUAAAUUUAGGUAUCAAUGUCCAAAGUGCGAGACCUGUAUCUCCAUUCUGCCGUGCUAAGGAAAAACGCCGUAUGAACAUUCAAUAGUUGCCAAAUUUCCUCCAAUGAAACAUUAAUUUUUGAGGAUAGUUAUGGGUGCUUCACUUGGAAAUUUUCAGAUAUUUAAGAUCAGAUUGCUAACAAAAUUAUCCUAAAAAAUUGGAGAAAAACAUUAAUAAAUUUCCCAGAAAAUUCCGGUUUUAUUAGAGGAAAUUUGGCGGUUCAAAUAGGGGUUUUCCUUAGCACGGCAGGAUUGGGGUGUUUUGAAAUCUCUGCUCCUGUUGUAUAUUUAUAAAGAGGAGCACAAGCCAUUAAUAUAGCUUGAAAUUUACACAGAGUAUUCUGAUAAUGGAGAAAAAAAUCAAGGAAGUUUUCAAGUAAUACCAUCGAACAGUUUUCUGAAGAAAAGUAAAGUAUGACAGAAAGUGUGUAACGUCGCAAACGAAGAUAUGUGGCUUCGCCUUUGGGCAUUGAUAUGUCCCUACUACUUAGUUCAAUUCAAUUUGAGGUGUAGUGUGCGCGUGGAAUUUUGAAAAAUCCACAGAAAUCUAAUUAUGCACGAUUUGGUUUGGAAAAUCAACACCAACAAUAAAGCACACAUAUCCGUAAUGAACGUGAGUAUGAAGGCAGUUUGUCUUUUCGAUUGGAGGGAGCAAUCAGUGCCAAAACAAAAAAAAAAAAAAAACAAAAAAAACUGACGAACCUGUUCGCUUUCUGCUCAUUAAAAAUUUAUUAGUCUACAUUUCUACUUCUGAGGAGCAUGUUUAGUGACUCAUAUUAUUAGUUUGGGGGAGGAUUUUUUACUAAGGGGGUCAGGCAACGUCUGCAAUCGUGCUGUUAUAAUUUCUGGGGUUAAAAAUAGUUUUCGUAAAUA